This 72-nucleotide transfer RNA is filed under the name Marmota monax (woodchuck). It matches the Rfam family "tRNA". Rfam says of the family: Transfer RNA (tRNA) molecules are approximately 80 nucleotides in length. Their secondary structure includes four short double-helical elements and three loops (D, anti-codon, and T loops). Further hydrogen bonds mediate the characteristic L-shaped molecular structure. tRNAs have two regions of fundamental functional importance: the anti-codon, which is responsible for specific mRNA codon recognition, and the 3' end, to which the tRNAs corresponding amino acid is attached (by aminoacyl-tRNA synthetases). tRNAs cope with the degeneracy of the genetic code in two manners: having more than one tRNA (with a specific anti-codon) for a particular amino acid; and 'wobble' base-pairing, i.e. permitting non-standard base-pairing at the 3rd anti-codon position. Lineage: Eukaryota; Metazoa; Chordata; Mammalia; Rodentia; Sciuridae. The record is from Rfam by way of RNAcentral.
UGGAGUGUAACUCAGUGGUAGAGCAUUUGCCUAGCAUGUGAGAGGCUCUGGGAUGAAUCCCCAACACUGCAA